Long non-coding RNA from Corticium candelabrum, 529 nucleotides. RefSeq lists it as uncharacterized. NCBI's taxonomy places the organism in Eukaryota, Metazoa, Porifera, Homoscleromorpha, Homosclerophorida, Plakinidae. The record is from RefSeq and is a predicted model, not a curated record. The transcript has 4 exons.
CUCAUUGGUUGAACUGAACAAUGAGAAUGUAAGUGAAGCAUUCAACUCUGUUAUUGUCUCGUUGACUAGCAGAUCAGCUCUGAAGACAAUCUGGAAAGAAUGCAUCUGCUGGCAUUGGAAGAAAGCACUAGCUAGAUGAAGGCUCAGCUGACAUGAAGUUGAAGACAUGCAGACAUGCUUAUGCAUUCUGUGAUUUGGCCACAAUGUGUCUUUCAACGUUGCCCAUCGAGUGUUCUUAUCUUCACAGUUGUGUCGACUACUGGUUGGACUACAGUCUACACAAUCAGGUUAUUGAGAUGCUCAUGAGUUGUAUGGAGGCAGCCGAUCGGCUGCUGUAUCUUGAACAACAGUGUAGCAUUUCGUCAAACAUUGAGUUGAUAGCGAGGUGUGUGAAUCUUUGUUGUGGAACAUGGAUGGAUGUGUGUAACAUAAUCACACGGUUGUGUGGUUUGUGUGGUUUGUGUGUGUUGUAUGUGUGUCAGGUUGUGUGAUGUUGAGCAUGAGAUUCAUUCAACUUCGUUGAGAUUAU